RNAcentral lists this ribosomal RNA (263 nucleotides) under uncultured bacterium. RNAcentral describes it as "partial 16S ribosomal RNA". It matches the Rfam family "Bacterial small subunit ribosomal RNA", at positions 793 to 1055 of the family's 1533-position model. The record is from RNAcentral.
GUCCUAGCCUUAAACGAUGCAUACUAGAUGUAGGUGGGCUCAACCCUAUCUGUAUCGGAGCUAACGCGUUAAGUAUGCCGCCUGGGGAGUACGCUCGCAAGGGUGAAACUCAAAAGAAUUGACGGGGGCCCGCACAAGCAGUGGAGCAUGUGGUUUAAUUCGAUGCAACGCGAAGAACCUUACCCAGGCUCGAAAUGUAGAGUACGUCGACAGAGAUGUCGAUUCCCGAAAGGGAUUCUAUAUAGGUGCUGCAUGGCUGUCGU